UGAGUUUGAGUAAGCUCCGGGAGUUGGUGUUGGACAGGGAGGCCUCGAGUGCUGCAGUCCACGGGGUCUCAGAGUUGGACACAACUGAGCAACUGAACUGAACUGAGACCCAUGUCUAGAAAUGAGUAUGGAUUUACGAUUGAGAUCCUGCAAGGGAAAAAUGUGUAAUCCACUAAUAAAGACUCCAAGCCCCUAUAAUCUCAAGCAACAACCUGCAAACUUCUUACUCUCAACUUCAGAGGAUGUUAAGCUUGAGUUAACACUGUCACAUGGAAUCUAUUGUUUUAAAUAUAAUAUUAAAAGUGGCCAACAUAUUCUAAAAAA
Long non-coding RNA from Bubalus bubalis (water buffalo), 324 nucleotides. RefSeq lists it as uncharacterized. The record is from RefSeq and is a predicted model, not a curated record. NCBI's taxonomy places the organism in Eukaryota, Metazoa, Chordata, Mammalia, Artiodactyla, Bovidae. The transcript has 2 exons.